This 253-nucleotide ribosomal RNA is filed under the name uncultured bacterium. RNAcentral describes it as "partial 16S ribosomal RNA". It matches the Rfam family "Bacterial small subunit ribosomal RNA", at positions 524 to 776 of the family's 1533-position model. The record is from RNAcentral.
UACGUAGGGUGCAAGCGUUGUCCGGAAUUAUUGGGCGUAAAGGGUGCGUAGGCGGCGCGGUAAGUCGGGUGUGAAAUCUCGGAGCUUAACUCCGAAACUGCAUUCGAUACUGCCGUGCUUGAGGACUGGAGAGGAGACUGGAAUUUACGGUGUAGCGGUGAAAUGCGUAGAUAUCGUAAGGAAGACCAGUGGCGAAGGCGGGUCUCUGGACAGUUCCUGACGCUGAGGCACGAAGGCCAGGGGAGCAAACGGG